This 283-nucleotide ribosomal RNA is filed under the name uncultured bacterium. Its description in RNAcentral is "partial 16S ribosomal RNA". It matches the Rfam family "Bacterial small subunit ribosomal RNA", at positions 1105 to 1382 of the family's 1533-position model. The record is from RNAcentral.
CUGUUUCCUGUUGCCACCCCGGCGAGAGUCGGGAGCACUCUGGACAGACUGCCUCGCUUAAACGAGGAGGAAGGUGGGGGUGACGUCAAGUCAGUAUGGCCCUUACGGCCAGGGCUGCACACGUACUACAAUGCCCGGCACAAAGGGAAGCGAGACCGUCAGUGGAGCAAAUCCCCGAAAACCGGGCCCAGUUCAGAUCGUCGUCUGCAACUCGACGGCGUGAAGUUGGAAUCGCUAGUAAUGGCGCAUCAGCUACGGCGCCGUGAAUACGUUCCCAGGCCUU